RNAcentral lists this ribosomal RNA (899 nucleotides) under uncultured bacterium. RNAcentral's name for it is "bacterial SSU rRNA". It matches the Rfam family "Bacterial small subunit ribosomal RNA", at positions 11 to 908 of the family's 1533-position model. The record is from RNAcentral.
GUUUGAUCAUGGCUCAGAUUGAACGCUGGCGGAAUGCUUUACACAUGCAAGUCGAACGGUAAAGGGGGCAACCCCUUGAGAGUGGCGAACGGGUGAGUAAUAUAUCGGAACGUGCCCAGUCGUGGGGGAUAACGUAGCGAAAGUUACGCUAAUACCGCAUACGAUCUACGGAUGAAAGCGGGGGACUCGCAAGAGCCUCGCGCGAUUGGAGCGGCCGAUAUCAGAUUAGGUAGUUGGUGGGGUAAAGGCUCACCAAGCCAACGAUCUGUAGCUGGUCUGAGAGGACGACCAGCCACACUGGAACUGAGACACGGUCCAGACCCCUACGGGAGGCAGCAGUGGGGAAUUUUGGACAAUGGACGCAAGUCUGAUCCAGCCAUUCCGCGUGCAGGAUGAAGGCCCUCGGGUUGUAAACUGCUUUUGUACGGAACGAAAAGGUUUCUAUUAAUACUAGGAGCUCAUGACGGUACCGUAAGAAUAAGCACCGGCUAACUACGUGCCAGCAGCCGCGGUAAUACGUAGGGUGCAAGCGUUAAUCGGAAUUACUGGGCGUAAAGCGUGCGCAGGCGGUUAUAUAAGACAGAUGUGAAAUCCCCGGGCUCAACCUGGGAACUGCAUUUGUGACUGUAUAGCUAGAGUACGGUAGAGGGGGAUGGAAUUCCGCGUGUAGCAGUGAAAUGCGUAGAUAUGCGGAGGAACACCGAUGGCGAAGGCAAUCCCCUGGACCUGUACUGACGCUCAUGCACGAAAGCGUGGGGAGCAAACAGGAUUAGAUACCCUGGUAGUCCACGCCCUAAACGAUGUCAACUGGUUGUUGGGUCUUCACUGACUCAGUAACGAAGCUAACGCGUGAAGUUGACCGCCUGGGGAGUACGGCCGCAAGGUUGAAACUCAAAGGA